UAUAGCUCAGUUGGUAGAGCAGCGCAUUCGUAAUGCGAAGGUCGUAGGUUCGACUCCUA
This 59-nucleotide transfer RNA is filed under the name Salmonella enterica subsp. enterica serovar Rubislaw. RNAcentral's name for it is "tRNA-Thr". It matches the Rfam family "tRNA", at positions 6 to 62 of the family's 71-position model. From Rfam's summary of the family: Transfer RNA (tRNA) molecules are approximately 80 nucleotides in length. Their secondary structure includes four short double-helical elements and three loops (D, anti-codon, and T loops). Lineage: Bacteria; Pseudomonadati; Pseudomonadota; Gammaproteobacteria; Enterobacterales; Enterobacteriaceae. The record is from RNAcentral. RNAcentral also lists the same sequence under 2 other names.